AUAGUCGUUGAGCUCGUCACCUCUCGUCGUAGUAUUUUGGGUCGUUGCGUUAGUGCAUUAGCUGAUAUACGGUUAGUUUUCCAUUUUAGCGAACGAUAUUACGAAGCCCUUGUUUCCUGCUGUUCUAGCGUGGUUACGUCUUGACAGCUUCAUGGAAUUUAGGACAGUUAGUUCGCAGAAAAAGUGUUUGUGAGUGUGGAUGUGUGUGUGCGCGCGAGAUACAAUUGCAACGCAUAUAAAUGUGAGCGCCAGCCAAAUGUAUUUCCGCUAGCGUUCGCAUUGGCAAAUUAUAUCAUAAAAUCAACAUUGUGCGGUCGUUUUGCCAUUGACAUAGGUCACGUCGCUAACGUGUGUGUACGUGCGCUGCGUUCGAGUUGCGAGCCGCUUCAGUGCUGUGUUCAGCGAGCGAACAGCAACGCUUUCACGCACAUACGUCACCGUCGCUGCUUGUAUGUGUGUAUGUACUUACAUAUAGUGUACUUUAACAGUUUAACUGCAUAGCAGCAGCGCGCACACCAACACACAUACAAACGCACAUUUGUAGUGACGCCGCGGACUUUUGGUGUUAGCACGCGUGUUGUGCGCGCAGCGUGGUAAGCACGCACCGGCAGCGCUGCCGCGAGGCUUCCACAAACCAUACAGGAACCAACCAUAGAAACGAACACACACAUACACAGGCACCGCAUUAAGCACUUUAUGUGCGGUAAUUCGAAUAUAAAUUUGAUUUUCCUGCGAAUUGCAGCAACAAAGCAACAAAGAAAGCGAAUGUGAAAUUGCCAGCAGCAAUUUGUUGCUUGCGUGAGUGUAAUACAUAUAAUAAGCACAUUAACAACAACUAUAAAAGCAAAAAGCACAACUCUAGUGAAUACAAGCCACUGCUGCAAUAAAUAAAAUCUGUAAAUGCACAAUCAAAAAUUGCACCAACUUGUGUGCGCGUGAGUGUCAAAUUGUUGAACGCUGUCGAUUAUGCGGCGCGUUGAUUCUUAAACGCUUGCGUAUUCGCCGAAAGUGCAAAUACUAAAUUUCCGUGCCGUGCGCGUUAAAUGGUGGCGAAUUACUAGAGUAAGGCGCGGACGGCCAUUAUCAUUUGCUCACUUUGCUGCUAACGGUGUGCAUUUGAAGCACUUAAACACACGCCUACAUACAUGCGUACCUAGAUUUGUUUACUUACUUUUGAGCACAUUGUUGCCGGUAGUGUUUUCGUGGCACUUGUGCGGUUCGUAAAAACAAAAGUUGUUGACAUUAAAAUUUCUGUAAAUGCGCGCUUAAUGCAGUUGCUCGUUUGAGUUGUGAGUGUUGCUGUUGCAAAGUAUCGCUGCAGAUGUGUGGUAAAUAAAACGAAAAUUUGUUUGUGUAAACACUUGUGAGACUCUGGAGUGCUGUUGUUGAAAGGCAAUCUCGCAAACAAUCAGCUUUGGCAUUUUUAAAGUGAGUGAAAAGUUGAAAUUGAGACUAAAAAGUGUUUGCAAGUCCGAAUUGUGAAUUUAAAUAUUCUAUCUGUUGUCAUAUAAAGAAACGAAUUUAGGAAGAAUUAAAAGAGAAAUCUGCACGGAUUGCAAUUUUGUGUAGGCA
Long non-coding RNA from Bactrocera tryoni, 1572 nucleotides. RefSeq lists it as uncharacterized. NCBI's taxonomy places the organism in Eukaryota, Metazoa, Arthropoda, Insecta, Diptera, Tephritidae. The record is from RefSeq and is a predicted model, not a curated record. The transcript has 4 exons.